Molecule: ribosomal RNA, 493 nt
Filed under: soil fungal sp. DM054
Lineage: Eukaryota; Fungi
Description: eukaryotic LSU rRNA
Rfam family: Eukaryotic large subunit ribosomal RNA
Source: RNAcentral
GUAAUUUGUAGAGGAUGCUUUUGGUGAGGUGCCGCCCGAGUUCCCUGGAACGGGACGCCACAGAGGGUGAGAGCCCCGUCUGGCUGGCCACCGAGCCUCUGUAAAGCUCCUUCGACGAGUCGAGUAGUUUGGGAAUGCUGCUCAAAAUGGGAGGUAUAUGUCUUCUAAAGCUAAAUAUUGGCCAGAGACCGAUAGCGCACAAGUAGAGUGAUCGAAAGAUGAAAAGCACCUUGAAAAGAGGGUUAAACAGUACGUGAAAUUGUUGAAAGGGAAGCGCUUGUGACCAGACUUGGGCGCGGCGGAUCAUCCGGGGUUCUCUCCGGUGCACUUCGCCGCGUUCAGGCCAGCAUCAGUUCGUCGCGGGGGAAAAAGGCUUCGGGAACGUGGCUCCUCCGGGAGUGUUAUAGCCCGUUGCAUAAUACCCUGCGGUGGACUGAGGACCGCGCAUCUGCAAGGAUGCUGGCGUAAUGGUCACCAGCGACCCGUCUUGAAA